RNAcentral lists this ribosomal RNA (697 nucleotides) under uncultured Gammaproteobacteria bacterium. RNAcentral describes it as "bacterial SSU rRNA". It matches the Rfam family "Bacterial small subunit ribosomal RNA", at positions 197 to 872 of the family's 1533-position model. The record is from RNAcentral. Lineage: Bacteria; Pseudomonadati; Pseudomonadota; Gammaproteobacteria.
CGGGGGAAAGCAGGGGAUCACUUGUGACCUUGCGUUAGUAGAUGAGCCUAAGUCGGAUUAGCUAGUUGGUGGGGUAAAGGCCUACCAAGGCGACGAUCUGUAGCGGGUCUGAGAGGAUGAUCCGCCACACUGGGACUGAGACACGGCCCAGACUCCUACGGGAGGCAGCAGUGGGGAAUAUUGGACAAUGGGGGGAACCCUGAUCCAGCCAUGCCGCGUGUGUGAAGAAGGCAUUAUGGUUGUAAAGCACUUUAAGCGAGGAGGAGGCUCUUUUGGUUAAUACCCAAGAUGAGUGGACGUUACUCGCAGAAUAAGCACCGGCUAACUCUGUGCCAGCAGCCGCGGUAAUACAGAGGGUGCGAGCGUUAAUCGGAUUUACUGGGCGUAAAGCGUGCGUAGGCGGCUUUUUAAGUCGGAUGUGAAAUCCCCGAGCUUAACUUGGGAAUUGCAUUCGAUACUGGGAAGCUAGAGUAUGGGAGAGGAUGGUAGAAUUCCAGGUGUAGCGGUGAAAUGCGUAGAGAUCUGGAGGAAUACCGAUGGCGAAGGCAGCCAUCUGGCCUAAUACUGACGCUGAGGUACGAAAGCAUGGGGAGCAAACAGGAUUAGAUACCCUGGUAGUCCAUGCCGUAAACGAUGUCUACUAGCCGUUGGGGUCUUUGAGACUUUAGUGGCGCAGCUAACGCGAUAAGUAGACCGC